Gorilla gorilla gorilla (western lowland gorilla) is the source of this 110-nucleotide unclassified non-coding RNA. It matches the Rfam family "Y RNA". Rfam says of the family: Y RNAs are components of the Ro ribonucleoprotein particle (Ro RNP), in association with Ro60 and La proteins. The Y RNAs and Ro60 and La proteins are well conserved, but the function of the Ro RNP is not known. In humans the RNA component can be one of four small RNAs -- hY1, hY3, hY4 and hY5. The record is from Ensembl. Lineage: Eukaryota; Metazoa; Chordata; Mammalia; Primates; Hominidae.
GGCUGACCUGAGAGUAGUGAGUUAUCUCAAUUGAUUAUUCAGUCAGUUACAGAUCAAACUCUUUGUUCUACUCUUUCCGCCUUCUGACUACUAUACUUAACUAGUCUUAA